RNAcentral lists this long non-coding RNA (213 nucleotides) under Lathyrus oleraceus (garden pea). RNAcentral describes it as "Pisum sativum (pea) long non-coding RNA (PSAT_LNC015887)". The record is from RNAcentral. Lineage: Eukaryota; Viridiplantae; Streptophyta; Magnoliopsida; Fabales; Fabaceae.
AAUUCCCUUAUUUCUUUGCAUGCUAACAUUAGGUAGAUGUUCCCAUUUGUAAAUCCUAACACAUAAGUCCAUAUUGCAUGACAACUCUAGGGCAGAGCUUCCUCAUUUUUUAGACCUUUCCGAGCGUCUCCGAUCCUGUGGCAUGUCAUUCCUUCCUAUUGCAGAGACACCUGCUGCUAGGACGUGAACACAUUGUCCAUUCUCAUUUGACAC